UCAGCUUAUUGCUCUUCUUGUUUUACGCCAUACCCUUCCCAUUAUACUCAGUGGAGCUGGGGAAUAUUCAUUGACUCUCUAUAUGUUACUGGUCAUUAGAACAAUUGCAAUACUUCUACCUGUAUGUAUAAUGGUUAAGGCAUUUACCAUUAUCCAACGGCGACGAUACCAGGAUCAUUACGCCUCUAUUCUGCAACAUGAGGAGAGUGAGCUGGAACAGCCUCAGUCUCGUGUCAUUCAUAUCUUGUGAUCAGACAAGAUUCUGUUAUUAUCAACCUUGGAUGAAGAUUUCACUAUGAUGAGAAGAUGCGGAUGGUACGGACCAACACGGUGAAGUAGACUCCUCGAUCAACGUUUAUGUGUUGAGAUGAACAAGAUGGUCACUUGAAGAUUGGUUAUUUAAGAUUCCAUGAUUCCGGUGGCGAAGAAGGCACAUAAAUUGAUGCAACUAGAAACAACUGUUGUACAUAGAUAGUUCUUUGGUGGUGGAAAUAGAUAUAAUGGGUGGGGCUGGAACUUGGAAAGAUAUAACAAAGUAAUAUGAUAAUAUACUUAAUAGUUGUUAAAAAUAUAUAAAAUGUCUUAUUGCAUGCUUAUUUUCAUUCAA
This is a long non-coding RNA of Prosopis cineraria, 607 nucleotides long. RefSeq lists it as uncharacterized. The transcript is spliced from 4 exons. NCBI's taxonomy places the organism in Eukaryota, Viridiplantae, Streptophyta, Magnoliopsida, Fabales, Fabaceae. The record is from RefSeq and is a predicted model, not a curated record.